AGGUUCUCAAUUUCUUGAAUUUUUCCUUUGAUUUAGAGAAGUAAGUAUAAUAAUGUGAAAUUAUCUCCUUUAGGGUUUAUGGAACCUAUCUUUAAAACUUUGAAGUUAGCAAGAAUUAGGUGUUAUUGAUGUGUAUUCAAGGUUUUAAAUAAGAAUAUAGCAAGGAAAUGUUUAUUUGAAAAUUGGAUUUGAAGAAAGAGAAUUUCGGAAAUGGGUUGUGAGAUAAAAGAUAUAUUCUUUGAAUUUCUUGUGAUUAUCUGAUGUUAAAUACUUAAAUUAAGGAUUUGAGAUUGGAAUUAUCCAUUUUUAAAAGUAAUUUUCGAGCUAUUAUAGUAUAGGCGUUAAUUCUGAAAUUCUACCAAGAAAAGUGCUAUUUUUGUCAAUGGUUUCGAUGCCAGAUUUCAAUAUAUAGAAAUUGGUACUAGAUUUCUAUAUUCCGGAGUUUUAGUGCUAUUUUUGUCAAACUUGGAUUUCCAAAUUUUUAAAGGCUUGAAUGAAUUUAUAUGACAAUAUUGAAGUCUAUGUAUUGGACUAACUAUGUAUAGGGGUUGUAUAUGUAUAAGGUAGUGAUUUUAAGGAAGUGUGAGUGAUGUAAUGAAUUUGAUAAUGUAUGAUAAUUACUUGAUAAAUCAUUAAAGAGAAGAAAAGUUGGGGAAUUGGAGAUAUAAGAGUAAGUAUAGAAAUUGAGAAGUUAAGUGGUGGAUUUGUAUUGAUUUAAUUGUUUGGUUUUAAUUCAAGAAAUUACACAGUCAUUUCAGGUAAGUACAUGGAAGCUUGAAAAGAC
This 784-nucleotide long non-coding RNA is filed under the name Olea europaea subsp. europaea. The record is from RNAcentral. Lineage: Eukaryota; Viridiplantae; Streptophyta; Magnoliopsida; Lamiales; Oleaceae.